This 66-nucleotide transfer RNA is filed under the name marine eukaryotic metagenome. It matches the Rfam family "tRNA", at positions 5 to 66 of the family's 71-position model. Rfam says of the family: Transfer RNA (tRNA) molecules are approximately 80 nucleotides in length. The record is from RNAcentral.
CGUUAGCUCAGUUGGUAGAGCAUCUGACUUUUAAUCAGGUGGUCGCAGGUUCGAUCCCUGCACGGC